Long non-coding RNA from Acyrthosiphon pisum (pea aphid), 1031 nucleotides. RefSeq lists it as uncharacterized. Lineage: Eukaryota; Metazoa; Arthropoda; Insecta; Hemiptera; Aphididae. The transcript is spliced from 5 exons. The record is from RefSeq and is a predicted model, not a curated record.
UUGGUUAAACAUACUGUCAGUAAAAAAGACGAUCGUACAACAUUAUAAAAAUUAUAUAAACCACAUAUUGGAAAGCAGAACGUAGUUUUAAAUGAUUAGAUUUGAGGAAUCUGAGUCUUUAAAAUCAAACGUGUACCUACCCAAUAACAAUACCUCGCCCCUAUUGCCAUUGUUCCGUUAUCAAUAACUUUGGCCGCUUCGGUAUGCUCCAAUAACACCAAUCGUUUUGUUUUCAUAGUUCAAAGUUUGUGCCAUGUGAUCCACAUCUAUCGACUUUGUCUUACUGGCUCUUACCACAUCAGAAAUCUUCCAGUUUUAAAUUAUGGCACUGGAUUACAUUAAUUCGAUUUUUUUUUGCUGGGAAAUUUUUGAAAUAGCAUGAUUUAAAGAUAACAAUUUUGAAGUUGAAAUAUUUUUCAAUUAAAAGUUACAUGGAUAACAGGUGUUUAUGCAAAUAUGUUAUUUGUGAGUGACCCUGUUUGUAAAACAUAUAAUGUUCUAGAAGUAAGUCAUCAAGACUUAAGAUGCACAUUGGAAUCAAUUAUAAACCGGAGCCAUGGGUUAUCUAAGAUAAUUUGCAAUGUCGUGCAAACAACAAGGUGUUGUGCAAUUCCGAGCGGAGUUUGGUGGCCAAUGAAAAGAUUGCCAAUGCCAUGUUGAACUGGGAAAGAUACAGGAGCGGCUAACAGGUCCAAGCUCCUCAGAAAGCACAGUUACAUAUUUCCUAUUCAAGAAACACCUGUUUUUUAAUCAGAACAACGUGGAUGGACUUGUGGGAAAAGAAGUGUUGUACCAUUAGGUGCUGCAUGACCUCAAUUCAAUUUAAAAUUGAACAUUUUUUAUGAAAAUGUACAGAUAAUUAUUGAUUUUGAGCAAGGCUUGAGAAAUGUCAUUAAUAGGGUUGUAAUGGGUAUGUAUUAGAAUGUAUAACUGAAGGUAUUAUAAACCGCUUUUACUUAUGCGGUUACUAUACGUAUACUAUGCGGUUCUCCUUGUAAAAGCAUUUAGCAUAACAACCUAUGAACACUGGU